GAUGAAGAACGUAGCGAAAUGCGAUAAGUAAUGUGAAUUACAGAAUUCAGUGAAUCAUCGAAUCUUUGAACGCACAUUGCGCCCGCUAGUAUUCUGGCGGGCAUGCCUGUCCGAGCGUCAUUUCAACCCUCAAGCCCCCGGGCUUGGUGUUGGGGAUCGGCGAGCCUCCGCGCCCGCCGUCCCCUAAAUCUAGUGGCGGUCUCGCUGUAGCUUCCUCUGCGUAGUAGCACACCUCGCACUGGGAAACAGCGCGGCCACGCCGUUAAACCCCCAACUUCUGAACGUUUGACCUCGGAUCAGGUAGGAAUACCCGCUGAACUUAAGCAUAUCAAUAAGCGGAGGA
Molecule: unclassified non-coding RNA, 343 nt
Filed under: soil metagenome
Description: partial contains 5.8S ribosomal RNA, internal transcribed spacer 2, and large subunit ribosomal RNA
Rfam family: 5.8S ribosomal RNA (bases 1-120)
Source: RNAcentral